RNAcentral lists this ribosomal RNA (490 nucleotides) under uncultured bacterium. Its description in RNAcentral is "partial 16S ribosomal RNA". It matches the Rfam family "Bacterial small subunit ribosomal RNA", at positions 28 to 507 of the family's 1533-position model. The record is from RNAcentral.
GAUGAACGCUAGCUACAGGCUUAACACAUGCGAGUCGAGGGGCAGCAUGGUCUUAGCUUGCUAAGGCCGAUGGCGACCGGCGCACGGGUGAGUAACACGUAUCCAACCUGCCGUCUACUCUUGGACAGCCUUCUGAAAGGAAGAUUAAUACAAGAUGGCAUCAUGAGUCCGCAUGUUCACAUGAUUAAAGGUAUUCCGGUAGACGAUGGGGAUGCGUUCCAUUAGAUAGUAGGCGGGGUAACGGCCCACCUAGUCUUCGAUGGAUAGGGGUUCUGAGAGGAAGGUCCCCCACAUUGGAACUGAGACACGGUCCAAACUCCUACGGGAGGCAGCAGUGAGGAAUAUUGGUCAAUGGGCGAGAGCCUGAACCAGCCAAGUAGCGUGAAGGAUGACUGCCCUAUGGGUUGUAAACUUCUUUUAUAAAGGAAUAAAGUCGGGUAUGGAUACCCGUUUGCAUGUACUUUAUGAAUAAGGAUCGGCUAACUCCGUG